This 1483-nucleotide ribosomal RNA is filed under the name uncultured prokaryote. Its description in RNAcentral is "partial 16S ribosomal RNA". It matches the Rfam family "Bacterial small subunit ribosomal RNA". The record is from RNAcentral.
AGAGUUUGAUCCUGGCUCAGGAUGAACGCUAGCGGCAGGCCUAACACAUGCAAGUCGAGGGGGAACAGGAGGUGCUUGCACUUUGCUGACGACCGGCGCACGGGUGCGUAACGCGUAUACAAUCUACCUUUUGCUGAGGGAUAGCCCAGAGAAAUUUGGAUUAAGACCUCAUGGUAUUAUAAAAUGGCAUCAUUAAAUAAUUAAAGGUUACGGCAAAAGAUGAGUAUGCGUUCUAUUAGCUAGAUGGUGUGGUAACGGCACACCAUGGCAACGAUAGAUAGGGGCCCUGAGAGGGGGAUCCCCCACACUGGUACUGAGACACGGACCAGACUCCUACGGGAGGCAGCAGUGAGGAAUAUUGGACAAUGGGCGCAAGCCUGAUCCAGCCAUGCCGCGUGCAGGAAGACUGCCCUAUGGGUUGUAAACUGCUUUUAUAUAGGAAGAAACCUUUCCACGUGUGGAGAGCUGACGGUACUAUAAGAAUAAGGAUCGGCUAACUCCGUGCCAGCAGCCGCGGUAAUACGGAGGAUCCAAGCGUUAUCCGGAAUCAUUGGGUUUAAAGGGUCCGUAGGUGGAUAAUUAAGUCAGAGGUGAAAGUUUGCGGCUCAACCGUAAAAUUGCCUUUGAUACUGGUUAUCUUGAAUCAUUGUGAAGUGGUUAGAAUAUGUAGUGUAGCGGUGAAAUGCAUAGAUAUUACAUAGAAUACCAAUUGCGAAGGCAGAUCACUAAUAAUGUACUGACACUGAUGGACGAAAGCGUGGGUAGCGAACAGGAUUAGAUACCCUGGUAGUCCACGCCGUAAACGAUGGUCACUAGCUGUUUGGACUUCGGUCUGAGUGGCUAAGCGAAAGUGAUAAGUGACCCACCUGGGGAGUACGUUCGCAAGAAUGAAACUCAAAGGAAUUGACGGGGGCCCGCACAAGCGGUGGAGCAUGUGGUUUAAUUCGAUGAUACGCGAGGAACCUUACCAGGGCUUAAAUGUAGAUUGACAGGACUAGAGAUAGUUUUUCCUUCGGGCAAUUUACAAGGUGCUGCAUGGUUGUCGUCAGCUCGUGCCGUGAGGUGUCAGGUUAAGUCCUAUAACGAGCGCAACCCCUGUUGUUAGUUGCCAGCGAGUCAUGUCGGGAACUCUAACAAGACUGCCAGUGCAAACUGUGAGGAAGGUGGGGAUGACGUCAAAUCAUCACGGCCCUUACGUCCUGGGCUACACACGUGCUACAAUGGUAGGUACAGAGAGCAGCCACUGCGUGAGCAGGAGCGAAUCUAUAAAACCUAUCACAGUUCGGAUCGGAGUCUGCAACUCGACUCCGUGAAGCUGGAAUCGCUAGUAAUCGGAUAUCAGCCAUGAUCCGGUGAAUACGUUCCCGGGCCUUGUACACACCGCCCGUCAAGCCAUGGAAGUUGGAAGUGCCUGAAGUCCGUCACCGUAAGGAGCGGCCUAGGGUAAAGUCGAUAACUAGGGCUAAGUCGUAACAAGGUAACC